GACGAACGCUGGCGGCGUGCUUAACACAUGCAAGUCGAACGGAAAGGCCCUGCUUUUGUGGGGUGCUCGAGUGGCGAACGGGUGAGUAACACGUGAGUAACCUGCCCUUGACUUUGGGAUAACUUCAGGAAACUGGGGCUAAUACCGGAUAGGAGCUCCUGCUGCAUGGUGGGGGUUGGAAAGUUUCGGCGGUUGGGGAUGGACUCGCGGCUUAUCGGCUUGUUGGUGGGGUAGUGGCUUACCAAGGCUUUGACGGGUAGCCGGCCUGAGAGGGUGACCGGCCACAAUGGGACUGAGAUACGGCCCAGACUCCUACGGGAGGCAGCAGUGGGGAAUAUUGCACAAUGGGCGGAAGCCUGAUGCGGCAACGCCGCGGGCGGGAUGACGGCCUUCGGGGUGUAAACCGCUUUCGCCUGUGACGAAGCGUGAGUGACGGUAAUGGGUAAAGAAGCACCGGCUAACUACGUG
RNAcentral lists this ribosomal RNA (468 nucleotides) under uncultured bacterium. RNAcentral's name for it is "partial 16S ribosomal RNA". It matches the Rfam family "Bacterial small subunit ribosomal RNA", at positions 28 to 507 of the family's 1533-position model. The record is from RNAcentral.